CCUACGGGAGACAGCAGUGAGGAAUAUUGGUCAAUGGGCGCGAGCCUGAACCAGCCAUGUAGCGUGAAGGACGACUGCUCUACGGGUUGUAAACUGCUUUUAUAAAGGGAUAAAGUGAGUUACGUGUGCCGUUUUGUAUGUACUUUAUGAAUAAGGAUCGGCUAACUCCGUGCCAGCAGCCGCGGUAAUACGGAGGAUCCGAGCGUUAUCCGGAUUUAUUGGGUUUAAAGGGUGCGUAGAUGGUUUUUUAAGUCAGUUGUGAAAUUUUGCGGCUCAACAGUGAAGUUGCAAUUGAUACUGGAAGACUAGAGUACAGAUGAGGUAGGCGGAAUGCGUGGUGUAGCGGUGAAAUGCUUAGAUAUCACGCAGAACUCCGAUUGCGAAGGCAGCCUGCUAGACUGCCACUGACACUGAUGCUCGAAAGCGUGGGUAUCAAACAGGAUUAGAUACCCGGGUAGUC
This 460-nucleotide ribosomal RNA is filed under the name uncultured bacterium. RNAcentral describes it as "partial 16S ribosomal RNA". It matches the Rfam family "Bacterial small subunit ribosomal RNA", at positions 338 to 795 of the family's 1533-position model. The record is from RNAcentral.